GGAGGAGAGGAUGACGAUGACAAUGUAAAGGACAGAAAAUGGAACGUUGAGCCUGAGCAGGAGAGCAGGGAGGAGAGCCCUAGUGCACCAGCAGGGAGACCGGGUCUAGCCAGGAGCAGAGAAGUCCCAUGCUUGGUGUUAACAGUCCACGCAUUUGAUGACACAUCUCCCAUCCUCCUUGGAACCCAGGCAGGGCUUUGUGAGUGUUUCCACGGGGAGCAGCACCACAAAGCCCUGAGCCACCAGCCUCGGAAGAGAGGCCACGCUGGAGCCGCAGGGCGCCGCAGACACCCGAGCCGCCCCGGGCUCGGGCCGAGCUCCCGGCCCCACCACACCCGUGAGGGAGGCAGUUUUCAGCGGAGUCCAGCCCCGGGGAACUGACUGCCAGGGCCUGAGACACCGAGCACCAGAGCUGCCUCCCGGAGCACAGCUGACCCUCGAACCCAGGACACAGAAGAGUAGAGGAUUGUUGCAGUUGUAAGCCCAGGCACUCCGGGGCCACCCGUGAGGCGUGCGUCCAGGCACCGCGUGUGGGCACAGAAGGCCGGGCUUUGCAGAGCUACACUCUGCCUCCGUUUCGUUCCUCUCAGCCACAUCCCUCACGGAGGGAAAUUCAUCUUGAGAUGGGGAUACUGGUGGCCUAGAACAAUGACCGCCAUGCUCACCGCCAGUCCUUUACCCAGCCAACCGGUCAGGAGGCCAAC
Zalophus californianus (California sea lion) is the source of this 704-nucleotide long non-coding RNA. RefSeq lists it as uncharacterized. NCBI's taxonomy places the organism in Eukaryota, Metazoa, Chordata, Mammalia, Carnivora, Otariidae. The transcript has 3 exons. The record is from RefSeq and is a predicted model, not a curated record.